This 531-nucleotide ribosomal RNA is filed under the name uncultured bacterium. RNAcentral's name for it is "bacterial SSU rRNA". It matches the Rfam family "Bacterial small subunit ribosomal RNA", at positions 365 to 908 of the family's 1533-position model. The record is from RNAcentral.
UCGGCAAUGGACGAAAGUCUGACCGAGCGACGCCGCGUGUGGGAUGAAGGUCUUCGGAUUGUAAGCCACUGUCGAGGGGGAUUAAGGGAAACUUGAAAGAACCCUGGAGGAAGGGGAGGCUAAGCUCGUGCCAGCAGCCGCGGUAAGACGAGCUCCCCAAACGUUAUUCGGUAUUACUGGGCUUAAAGAGUUCGUAGGCGGCGAAGUAGGUGAGGUGUGAAAGCCCUCGGCUCAACCGAGGAACUGCGCUUCAAACCACUUUGCUAGAGGGAGAUAGGGGUAAGCGGAACAGAUGGUGGAACGGUGAAAUGUAUUGAUAUCAUCUGGAACACCGGUGGCGAAAGCGGCUUACUGGGUCUUUUCUGACGCUGAGGAACGAAAGCUAGGGUAGCGAACGGGAUUAGAUACCCCGGUAGUCCUAGCCGUAAACGAUGAGCACUAGUCUGAGGGACUUUCACGGUUUCUCGGACGUAGCGAAAGUGUUAAGUGCUCCGCCUGGGGAGUAUGGUCGCAAGGCUGAAACUCAAAGGA